GGGGUAACAGAGGGUGCUUGCACCCUGCUGACGACCGGCGCACGGGUGCGUAACGCGUAUGCAACCUACCUUCUACAGGGGGAUAGCCCAGAGAAAUUUGGAAUAAUACCCCAUACGAUCUUUACUUGGCAUCGAGUAAAGAAGAAAACUUUUGUGGUAGAAGAUGGGCAUGCGUCCUAUUAGUUAGUUGGUGAGGUAACGGCUCACCAAGACAUCGAUAGGUAGGGGCCCUGAGAGGGGGAUCCCCCACACUGGUACUGAGACACGGACCAGACUCCUACGGGAGGCAGCAGUGAGGAAUAUUGGACAAUGGGGGCAACCCUGAUCCAGCCAUGCCGCGUGCAGGAAGACUGCCCUAUGGGUUGUAAACUGCUUUUAUACAGGAAGAAACUGCGCUACGUGUAGCGUACUGACGGU
This 417-nucleotide ribosomal RNA is filed under the name uncultured Gelidibacter sp. Its description in RNAcentral is "bacterial SSU rRNA". It matches the Rfam family "Bacterial small subunit ribosomal RNA", at positions 66 to 476 of the family's 1533-position model. Lineage: Bacteria; Pseudomonadati; Bacteroidota; Flavobacteriia; Flavobacteriales; Flavobacteriaceae. The record is from RNAcentral.